CCUACGGGUGGCAGCAGUGAGGAAUAUUGGUCAAUGGCCGGAAGGCUGAACCAGCCAUGCCGCGUGAAGGUCAGUGCCCUAUGGGCGUUAAACUUCUUUUGUGCGGGAGCAAUAAUGGUCACGUGUGGCCCGACGAGAGUACAGUACGCAUAAGCAUCGGCUAACUCCGUGCCAGAAGCCGCGGUAAUACGGGGGAUGCAAGCGUUAUCCGGAUUUAUUGGGUUUAAAGGGUGCGUAGGCUGUGAGGUAAGUCAGCGGGGAAAAGCCCCCGCUCAACGGGGUGAAGUGCCAUUGAUACUGCCUUGCUUGAAUGCGGAUGCCGUUGGAGGAAUGUGUGGUGUAGCGGUGAAAUGCAUAGAUAUCACACAGAACACCGAUUGCGAAGGCAUCUCACGAAUCCGCGAUUGACGCUGAUGCACGAAAGCGUGGGUAUCAAACAGGAUUAGAUACCCCAGUAGUC
RNAcentral lists this ribosomal RNA (460 nucleotides) under uncultured bacterium. RNAcentral describes it as "partial 16S ribosomal RNA". It matches the Rfam family "Bacterial small subunit ribosomal RNA", at positions 338 to 795 of the family's 1533-position model. The record is from RNAcentral.